This 444-nucleotide ribosomal RNA is filed under the name uncultured bacterium. RNAcentral's name for it is "partial 16S ribosomal RNA". It matches the Rfam family "Bacterial small subunit ribosomal RNA", at positions 354 to 796 of the family's 1533-position model. The record is from RNAcentral.
GUAGGGAAUAUUGGGCAAUGGUCGGAAGACUGACCCAGCCAUGCCGCGUGCAGGAAGACGGCCCUCUGGGUUGUAAACUGCUUUUAUCUGGGAAGAAAAAGGCCAUGCGUGGCAAAUUGCCGGUACCAGAUGAAUAAGCACCGGCUAACUCCGUGCCAGCAGCCGCGGUAAUACGGAGGGUGCGAGCGUUGUCCGGAUUUAUUGGGUUUAAAGGGUGCGUAGGCGGCUGAUUAAGGCAGCGGUGAAAGACUUCGGCUUAACCGGAGCAGUGCCGUUGAUACUGGUUGGCUUGGGUGUCGGAGGGGUACAUGGAAUUGAUGGUGUAGCGGUGAAAUGCAUAGAUACCAUCAGGAACACCGAUAGCGAAGGCAUUGUACUGGCCGACAACUGACGCUGAUGCACGAAAGUGUGGGGAUCGAACAGGAUUAGAAACCCUAGUAGUCC